RNAcentral lists this ribosomal RNA (497 nucleotides) under uncultured bacterium. RNAcentral's name for it is "partial 16S ribosomal RNA". It matches the Rfam family "Bacterial small subunit ribosomal RNA", at positions 28 to 507 of the family's 1533-position model. The record is from RNAcentral.
GAUGAACGCUGGCGGCGUGCCUAAUACAUGCAAGUCGAGCGAACAGGUGAGGAGCUUGCUCCUUUGACGUUAGCGGCGGACGGGUGAGUAACACGUGGGUAACCUACCUAUAAGACUGGGAUAACUUCGGGAAACCGGAGCUAAUACCGGAUAAUAUUUUGAACCGCAUGGUUCGAUAGUGAAAGAUGGUUUUGCUAUCACUUAUAGAUGGACCCGCGCCGUAUUAGCUAGUUGGUAAGGUAACGGCUUACCAAGGCGACGAUACGUAGCCGACCUGAGAGGGUGAUCGGCCACACUGGAACUGAGACACGGUCCAGACUCCUACGGGAGGCAGCAGUAGGGAAUCUUCCGCAAUGGGCGAAAGCCUGACGGAGCAACGCCGCGUGAGUGAUGAAGGUCUUCGGAUCGUAAAACUCUGUUAUUAGGGAAGAACAUACGUGUAAGUAACUGUGCACGUCUUGACGGUACCUAAUCAGAAAGCCACGGCUAACUACGUG